CGCGUCUUUCGCGGAUAUUUGUGAUCAAACCGCAGCUUAGAUGACACCGAGCGACUCGAGCUGCAAGGAAAAAAAAAAAGGCGGCCUCUGAUGUAUUUUUAGACGGGCUAAAUAAUGAAUGCCUGAAACGACUGCGAGGACCACGCCUGCCAAAGCCUCACCUGAGCUCCUUUUGAAGGAGUCGCUCUCUGAUUUUGGUGAUGAAACCGCUCGGCUACAAACGCGUUGAUUUGCAUCGUCAAAGCAGGGAGCCGCUUGCUUUUCAAAAGAAAACGUUCGAGGCAGAUGGCGGCGGCGGCGGCGGCGGCCUAUCUUCCAGGUACAGAGAGCGAGACGGCCACGCUUGUCUCUUGUAUGAACGCUACGGUCAGCGAGUGGCAGCCGGAGAUACGGCGAGGUAAUCUCUCGCCCGACUCGGCCCGGGCGAGAAGCCCGUGUCAGGUGUCGGGUAAGGCGCGAGCUAGAGAGACAGUGCGUGGAUGGAAGCGGAAGACGGUUAACCGCGGCGCAUUGCGGCCGUAUCAUCGUGUCAACGGGGGCGACUGCAGAAGCUCCACCGAGGGCCUCGUUCUGCCUCCCGCUGCUCCCGAGCUCGUCUCGCUUGAGGAUUCUGACGGGAGGAGUCUGAGGCUCCGGGUGAUAAGAACUCCGCUCACUUAGGAGCGUGAAUGAGCCUCUCCAAAACUUGGGUCCAGUCUGGAGACGGAUUGCCCGCAAACUGCCAACGCAGACGAGAUUACCGACUGAUUACUUGAUGAGUCAGAGCUGGCCCGGACCUUCAUGGGGUGUUCAGGGACACCGACCGAGUACACGUUUCUUUUUAAUGGAACUUUGUUUUUCCUCAGUACAAAAAAAAAAAAAAAAAAAAUUAAAAAUGAUGCAACUCUGUUGACUGUAAAUUGCUCGUUGGGGGAGGAAAGUGGGGGGGUGGGUUGUUCGCUUGUACUUUCUCCGUCAAGAGUCCCGGUUUUCCAAUCCAACGUUUUUAUCGAAACAUAUUGACUUACGUGAGCUGAAGCCAGUGAACUGAUCCGGGUUGACAGUUAUUAUAAUUGCGUUACAACGGAGGACGGAGGAGUCGGACAGCGCAAUUGUUUGCUUUGUCCCGGUCCGGUCUGGCAUUCCUGAUAUUAUUUGCCGUCUGGUGAAUAGGUUCUGUCGCAUCAAUUCCCCGUUUGAUCCAUCACUCUGCUCAACGUGACUGGUCACAUGGGAAGAAGUGCUUCUCAAAUCGGACUGGGAAUUUCUCCCAAAACCCAGUUCCAAUCCAGACCGUCGCUCAGUCGUAGCGUUCGUUUCUUUGCUUUGCCCACUUUCUCUGGCGCUUUAAUGGGAAAAAGGCUCGCGGUACGAGUCCAUUUUUUUUGUUUUUGCAGUACCGAUGCCGUUGAAAACGUCCCGUUUCCAAACAUUUUUGCCGCGACUGGUCGGACAGCAGACGAAUUGGUCCCAUCUACUCCGGAGUCGAUGUUCGUAAUCGCAUGAGGCGGCUGCCGGCCUCGGCCGGGGGACGCGGGGGACUCCCCUUUUCCCGGCAAAAGCUGGCCGAUGGCCAAAUGUCUGCAUGUGGAGGCCGCCGCUGGUCGUAUGGAACCGUUAAGUCCGUGACAAAAUUAUGAUGUUGUUUCAUGUUUGUUUACGGUAAAUUGUUGUGGUUGGCUCUUCACAAAUGUAGCUAUUCAUUGAAAAACCACUAGCAUAUUUUUAUGCUCUCUUUUUUUUUUGCCCUCAGAUGUUCCCAAAGCCCCGCCUAGUAGGAAAGUCGUAAUUCGUGUCAAGGUAGAACGUUGAAGUGAUACGUCCCAACUGCGAGACUACGUUGUUAUGGAGAGUCUACAAAUGUUUUUGCGCCGUUUAAGAUAACGGAAGAGAAAUUGGGAAGCUACGUGAUGUCAGCGGCAAUGCACAUUUUUAUUAGAUAAGGACAUGGUGUGGACUAAAAGAAACUCCUCUUCAAGGUGCCACAAGGUGGUGCCAAAGCAUUACUUGUAUGUCAGACAUGGCUUUGGCCCAGGCAAAAAAAAACAAAACAAAACUGCAAAUGAAUUUUUCUAUGAAAAACAAAAGAAGAAGUAAGUCUCUCCCCCCCCCCCCC
Molecule: long non-coding RNA, 2095 nt
Organism: Syngnathoides biaculeatus (alligator pipefish)
Lineage: Eukaryota; Metazoa; Chordata; Actinopteri; Syngnathiformes; Syngnathidae
Exons: 2
Source: RefSeq, a predicted model, not a curated record